AGAGUUUGAUCAUGGCUCAGAUUGAACGCUGGCGGCAUGCCUUACACAUGCAAGUCGAACGGCAGCGCGGACUUCGGUCUGGCGGCGAGUGGCGAACGGGUGAGUAAUAUAUCGGAACGUGCCCUGGAGUGGGGGAUAACGCAGCGAAAGUUGCGCUAAUACCGCAUACGAUCUAUGGAUGAAAGUGGGGGAUCGCAAGACCUCAUGCUCCUGGAGCGGCCGAUAUCUGAUUAGCUAGUUGGUAGGGUAAAAGCCUACCAAGGCGACGAUCAGUAGCUGGUCUGAGAGGACGACCAGCCACACUGGGACUGAGACACGGCCCAGACUCCUACGGGAGGCAGCAGUGGGGAAUUUUGGACAAUGGGGGCAACCCUGAUCCAGCAAUGCCGCGUGUGUGAAGAAGGCCUUCGGGUUGUAAAGCACUUUUGUCAGGAAAGAAAUCCCCUGGGUUAAUACCUCGGGGGGAUGACGGUACCUGAAGAAUAAGCACCGGCUAACUACGUGCCAGCAGCCGCGGUAAUACGUAGGGUGCAAGCGUUAAUCGGAAUUACUGGGCGUAAAGCGUGCGCAGGCGGUUGUGCAAGACAGAUGUGAAAUCCCCGGGCUCAACCUGGGAAUUGCAUUUGUGACUGCACGGCUAGAGUGUGUCAGAGGGGGGUAGAAUUCCACGUGUAGCAGUGAAAUGCGUAGAUAUGUGGAGGAAUACCGAUGGCGAAGGCAGCCCCCUGGGAUAACACUGACGCUCAUGCACGAAAGCGUGGGGGAGCAAACAGGAUUAGAUACCCUGGUAGUCCACGCCC
Molecule: ribosomal RNA, 800 nt
Filed under: uncultured bacterium
Lineage: Bacteria
Description: bacterial SSU rRNA
Rfam family: Bacterial small subunit ribosomal RNA
Source: RNAcentral